Mycena latifolia is the source of this 94-nucleotide non-coding RNA. The record is from the annotation of a GenBank genome assembly. NCBI's taxonomy places the organism in Eukaryota, Fungi, Basidiomycota, Agaricomycetes, Agaricales, Mycenaceae.
GCAUCGGUGGUGUAUGGUACACACGUCAACAUUCUGGUAGGAAUCAUUGGCAGUCAACCAUGACGAGCCCGGGGUUCGAGUCCCCGCCGGUGCA